RNAcentral lists this ribosomal RNA (939 nucleotides) under uncultured bacterium. RNAcentral's name for it is "bacterial SSU rRNA". It matches the Rfam family "Bacterial small subunit ribosomal RNA", at positions 24 to 956 of the family's 1533-position model. The record is from RNAcentral.
UCAGAAUGAACGUUGGCGGUGUGCUUAACACAUGCAAGUCGAACGAGAAAGUUCUUCGGAAUGAGUAUAGUGGCGAACGGGUGAGUAACGCGUGAGGAUCUCCCCUUCAGUGAAGGAUACCCUUGAGAAAUUAAGGUUAAUACUGCAUACGUCCCAUAGAAAUGUGGGAGAAAGAUGGCCUCUUGCUGUCGCUGAAAGAUGAACUUGCGUUCUAUUAGCUAGUUGGUGGGGUAAAGGCCUACCAAGGCGAUGAUGGAUAGCCGGCCUGAGAGGGUGAACGGCCACAUUGGAACUGAGAUACGGUCCAGACUCCUACGGGAGGCAGCAGUGAGGAAUAUUGCACAAUGGGCGAAAGCCUGAUGCAGCGACACCGCGUGAAGGAUGAAGGUCUUAGGAUUGUAAACUUCUGUUAAGUGGGAAAAAAGACUCGUUACGAAUAAUAACGAGGGAUGAUGGUACCACUAGAGAAAGCACCGGCUAACUUCGUGCCAGCAGCCGCGGUAAUACGAGGGGUGCAAACGUUAUUCGGAAUUACUGGGUGUAAAGGGUACGUAGACGGCAUCUUAAGUCAAUUGUUAAAUUCCCCGGCCUAACUGGGGGUAGGCGAUUGAAACUAAGAAGCUAGAGAGUGGAAGAGAGAAGUGGAAUUCUCGGAGUAGCGGUAAAAUGCGUAGAUCUCGAGAGGAACACCGAUGGCGAAGGCAGCUUCUUGGUCCAUAUCUGACGUUGAGGUACGAAAGCGUGGGGAGCAAACAGGAUUAGAUACCCUGGUAGUCCACGCUGUAAACGAUGAUCACUAGACGUUGGGCUUGCUUGCAGGCUCAGUGUCGCAGCUAACGCGAUAAGUGAUCCACCUGGGGACUACGGUCGCAAGAUUAAAACUCAAAGGAAUUGACGGGGGUCCGCACAAGCGGUGGAACAUGUGGGUUUAAUUCGUCA